RNAcentral lists this long non-coding RNA (6761 nucleotides) under Olea europaea (common olive). RNAcentral's name for it is "long non-coding RNA (OEUR_LNC015002)". The record is from RNAcentral. Lineage: Eukaryota; Viridiplantae; Streptophyta; Magnoliopsida; Lamiales; Oleaceae.
UUUAAUUCAGUUGUACUUAGAGAUUUGAAAAUUCUUUCUUUGGAGGUUUUGUUGCUGCCCACACGUUGCCCGUCCUAUAUGAAAGAUAUGAAGAUGAGGUUGAUGGUUUUAUGUACAAUGUCCUCGGACAGCUUCAGCAUAAUUACCGCAAGCUGGAUGCCAGUGUCUUGCGCCGAAUCCCGACCAGCAAGUUCAGGGGAAGGAAGGUUGACUAGACUGCUCCUUUAAUAUCUCAAAUAACUGCAAGCAAUUUGAUGACAGCUAACACUACUCGAGUUACCGUUUAUCAACCCAUAAACUGUAGCUACAUUCACAAUGACCGUCGAACUUUCUAAUACAUAUAACUGGAACCUUCUCAGCCCCCUUAACACAACCUAGGCGCCUUUGCUAACUUCUAGAACUCUAUCUCCCCCAUUAUAGCGGCACCCUUUUGAAUCAAGAAUAUUCAAAGAGAUUUGAUUCCUGUUUGUACCUAGAACAUGUCGAACCUGGCCAAGUAUUCUAACCAUCCCAUCAAACAUCUUGAUUUUACCAAUCUCAAUUAUUUUGUAAGGCUCAUUAUUUUCCAUCAUCACGAAACUCUUGUAACAAUUUCAUAUGAAGAAAACCAAUCUCAGUUUGAACACAUAUAAAAAGUACAAGGCAAGUCAAGAAUCCAAUUCUUGUCAAAUUUGGAGUCAUCGUUAGUAAUUGUCAUAAGAUCUCCAUCACUAUCACUGUUGUUAUCAUUGACUUUGCCCCUUCCAUGAUUAUCGUCUUCCUCGUAUGAAUAACAAGACCUUUGCUGGGCUUCAUAACCGAUGACUAGAUGCUUCAUCUUCUCAUUAGAAUAAAGCGCGUCGUAUACCUCGUCACUAGUAAAAGUAUCCCGAUUAUACAGAAUAGAAUAUCUAAAAGUUACAUAUGAAAAAGGGAACGAAUAUAACAAUAUCAGCCCUAAAUCCUCUUCAUCAUACUUGACUUCCAUGGUCUCCAAAUUAGUAAUGAUUUCCUUGAAUACCAAUAAUUGAUCUUCCAAAGAUCCAUAAUUUGUCAAGCGAUGAAAAUACAAACGCUGCUUCAAGUGUAACUUACUUAUCAAGCUCUUUAUCAUAUAAAGUUACUCCAAUUUUAACCAUAAUCGAAUGACACUUUUCACCUUUACUAUGUCCUAAAAAAUUUGAUUAGAACAAUGAAGAUUUAUCUAUGAUAAUGCUUUUCGAUCCAUGCGUUGCUCCUCCAUCGUAGUCAUUAUUACGAGCAUUCUAUCCACCCCAACAAAAGCAUUAAUAAAACUCAAUUGAGCAAGAAUCGCUCACAUCUUGAUCUAUCACAAAGAGAAUCUACUGUUGCAAUACAAAAACGGAAUCUCAAAUUUCAUAGUUGCCAUACCUGAAACAAUUGAAUUUGUUCAAACUUCACUUUAAUAACCAAUUUGAAUCUCACAAGAACCUGCUAAAAUCCUUCAGCUCUAAUAUCAGUUUGUUGAGAAUUCAGCCAAAUAGUUAAAUAGUGAGAAAAUAUGGGUAAUAUGAAAAUAAUGAAUCACACAACCAACAAAAUUUUUGUGGAAGAAGGGGAGAAUUUAUUAUAUCAAAAAACUAAAAUUGUCUUUACAAAAUUUAGUUCUAAACAAUUUUCUCAAGUUUCUAAUGUAUAAAACAAUGAUCUAAUUGUUAUGAGUCUAUGAAGAGCAUACAUUUUGUGUAGUAUUUAUAAGAGAUUAAUCUUGUAGCUAUGGAUAAGUAGAAUCCUUAAUUCCCGGCCCAAAUAGGCUUAGGGUUGGAUCAUCAAUUUUGGGUGUUAAUAUUUAUUUUAUCCAACAUCGGUUUAACAAUAUCACCUGGAUUAUUGGGAACCAAAAUCCAACACUAUUUUAUAACACAUUAUCAGCACGAUUCUCCCAAAAUUCAAGAAAUAAUUGAAUAUGAUCAAGAGCAAGUCACCAUCUCUUUAUGUUCCGAUAUCUUCUUUACUAAUCAAAUCACCAAUUCACCAUCUCUUCAUUGUGUAUGUGACCGUCCUUCAUAUUUGAUCAAUUUUACCACCAUUGUCGUCAUGCAAAUUGCCCAUGGCGAAAUAAGUUAUUUUUACAUGGUCAUUUCACGCACCAAGUAUAAAAGUGACCAAGUCCCUGUGACAAUAUAGGGUGGUUAUGGACAAGGUGGUGGCAAUGCCCCACGUCACAUUCUAAUUGAUGCACACAUAAUAUUUUUUAAUUUCCAAAUAUAUCUUCUUGUAAUUGUUUUCUGUUUGAAUAGUUGAGUGAACGAGAGGGUCUUAUUGUUUGGAUGAGAACUGCAGCAUUACCUAAUUUCAGAAAGUUAUAGAGACUGACUUGGAAGCCAAUCAGAAAAUAAGAGUUGUAAUACAAAACAAUUACAAACAUUCAAUUGACAGCAAGUAACAGCUAGUACUUUCCACAACCACUUGGAUUGGUGGAAAAAAUGAUUUUCUUGGCAAGGCCUACAUCACAGUUGGUGGAAUUUGCUUGUUCCUUGCAAUAGCUUUCAUAUUGACAUAUGUCAUCAAGCCCAGGUAAACAAAUUCUCCGUAUUUUCUUCUAUACAUUUUGUUGAUUUUGCAGGAAAAAAGAGCCCAUUUAAUGAAAGAAUAAUGCUACGAAGCAACACCAAUUUACACGGCAAUACAAUAUUGGAAUUGACUAACAUGUCUAUUUUCCAGUUUAUAAGCUUUUAGCUCAUAUGUUUAUGCAGAAAUUUGACAUGUUUUUGGAGUUAUGUAAAGCAAUGUUUUUAAACCAUAUCCCUAAAAAAGGUUGCUUGGGUUUCGCAAGUUUUGGUUGGCUUCUUGUGAUUCUGUACCUGCUUUUAUUUACAUGGAUAUUAAUACUUAAUAGUGUGAUGUUAGCCCCCCAAUUAUUCAGUGCUUCAUAAAAUUUUAAUGAAGGUGACAAUCUUGAACUCGAUGUUCAUUUUGAUUGUUCUUGUGUAGGCCCUUGGGAGAUCCAGCCUACUUGUCAUGGAAUAUGAAAUCUGCACAGGGUCGGUACUAAUAUUUGGGAGGUGUUAUGCCAAUUUCAAAUAUGAGGCCUUAUUAAUAUUAAGCUCCAGUUUGAUAGAAAUUAAAAUCAGAUUUUUCGCGACAUUUUUUAAUAAUUGCACCGUUUUUUAUUUACAAGAAAGAUUUUAAUAUUUGCUUACUUUUAAUUUUAUGUCCUCAACUUGUUUUUUUGUCAAAUUGUCAUUCUUAACCUUUAAUUAACCAACAUAUUUUAUCGCUAAUCACUAUUUUUAUCCAAAUAUUCUACUAACGUGGACUGAGAAAAUGGACAAAUAUUUUGUUUAACCUUUGUAUUAUUUAUUAUUUUGAUUAUUUAGAAAUAAGAGAGAAAUAUGCCUUUUUGGCCCUCAUAACAAAUAUUUUGGAUGAAAAUCAUCUCUAUAGACAAGAUGUGAAAAUUAAUAAAAGGUUAGUGAUAAAAAGAAAAAUUAAGAAAAGUUGAGGACAUAAGUGUAAAAAUAAGAAAACUUUAGAGACAUAUGUUGUAAUUAAAAUAUAGUGCAGUAACAAAAAUUGUGAUAUGAAUGUACCCUAACUAUAUUGUUCAAAUUCGUAGAGAGCUUCUAUGCUUGGGAGCACUAGCCGCAAUGACCAGACGAAAGUCAAGAUUUGUAGCUUAAUUUGUUCCAAUUCCAGCCACUUCCAACUUUAAAACUUAUAUUUUAGCCCCUGUUUGAUUCUCAUUCUUUAGACACAAAAAUAAAAAAUAUGAUCGUUAUCUAUCACAUCAAGCUACCAUAUUUGACUUUCUCUCUCUUGUAUGAGUCAUGUAACGACUAUAAUUUUCAUUCUCAUUUUUAGAAAAAUGGGAAUCAAACGGGGCCUUAUUGUAUUACUUAUUCUAGUGGCUCCUUGAACCACCACAAAUAUCUCCUACAUUUUAUAUAUAAACCCUUAGAUAUAUGUCUUAUUUGAUAGGGUUAAUAUCAAAAUUUAUUAAUUUUAAUAAAUUUUGACGAAAUAUGUGAUUAAAAAGCUUAAGCCUCAUGACAUAUGUAAUUGAAAUUAAUUUUUAACUUUGAUUUAGAUUAAAAUUUUAAUUUUAUUCCCACCAAAUAUGAUAUAUAAUAUAAUGGUGUUAUAUUUGAAUAUUUUAUCCAUAUAUUUAACGAGGGUUUUGAGUAUUUGAUUUAAAUAUUGGUUUUUCCCAUCGAAAAAAUUAAUGAGAGUGUACAUCUAUGCAUCUGAGUGUUAUUUAGGUACAAUAAAUUUUAAAUCGAAAGUUGGUUGAGGGAAUAAUGAGAAUGCUUGAUCUGAGUAAGCUAGUCUCAGAGACAUUUUUUCUCUCAAAAUUCUUCCCACAAGGAGGAGCUUCCAGCUACACAUGGUGGCGUUAUCAGUGUAAUAGUCAUAGGAUCAAAUGUUCAGAAAAAUCGCAAAUGCACGAUAUCACGAUAAGUAAUAUAGUGAUUAAUAGAUUAUUUAUUCCACGGAAUUAAUGAAUUGAAAACUCAAAUGAUUGAUGGUUUUCAAAAUUAAACUAAAAGUUAAUAAAAGUAACAAAAUGAGGUUCCAUAGCCUCACUUUGAACCUAGUUCAAUGAGAUAAAGUGUUCAGAUUCUCAAUUUCAAUAUAUUGUUUUUUCAAUGAACUUCGUAUAGCACAUUUUGACAAUUAUUCAUGUGUGAUAUCAAGUAAAUCUCUGUAGAAUAUUGAUAGUUUAUCUUAAAUAAAAUCAAACCUAAAUAAAUAUGAGAAUUUACUAUAAACCUAUGUAAAUUACUAAACAAUGAAGUUCCUUUGUCCUUCACCUGCAACCAAUUAAAAGGUCUACAACUAGGCCUGGACAUUUUAAUUGAGAUCGAAUCUCUCGAACUGAAAUUGAAACGAAACCGGAGGUUUCGAUUUGAUUCUAAAAAAAUUAGAUUAGGAACUGGAACCGAGAACCGAUUGAGUUGGAUCGGUUGUAGUGGUGGCAAAAAAACUCGUCCCGCCCCAUGAAGAGAAAAAAAAAUUUAAUAAUUUUAUUUUUAGACAAUUCAUUUACCCAUUAAAAACGCAUUUUGAAUUUGUAUUUUAUUAUCUAAUAAUAGUAUAACUCAAAAUUUUAAAAAUGUAUAUAAAAAAAUUAAAAAGGGACAGCAAAUGGAGCAAGCCUCCGCCCCACCACCAUCCCUAGGUUGUUGGUUCUUGAAACAGAACCAUGGGUAUACAAAUGGAACCAAUUUUUUUAUAUAAUUUUUUAUUUUUUAUAAUUUAAAGGAUUGGUAAAAAAAUAAAAAUAAUAACAUAAAAACUCUAAUUUGGAUAGUAAUUCAUUUAAAACUCUGGAUUCAUUUAAUAGGAAUUCUGCAUCAAUCUAUUAGAAGUUAAAACUCACGUGCUAAAUAUAGAAUUUGUAUGUCUUUAUCUAAAAUUUAAUUAUAUAUUUUCUACCAGUAUUUCAAGUUAUAUAUCUGGUUAAUAUGCUUUAUCACCAUUUCAAAAUAAUUAAUAAUAAUUAACUCGCCCCCGGGGCAUAGCGCAGUGGUGUAAAGGACCGGAGUGAGGUUAUCUCACACUUUGUUGACAACCGCAGUUGGGGAUUUGAUUCUUGAGACGUGGAAUAGGACUCCUUGUAGUUGAAGUGUACAUGCAACUCUUGUUCUCUGACUUGUUAGUACAUACAUCGCGAUUUACCUCCUUCACAAAACUCUAGGAGUGAGGCAGUGGGGGUUCAACCUUUUUUUUUUUUUAACAAUAAUUAACUCAAUCUAACUUGAAGGUAUUUAAUAUUGGAUAUUACUAUAAAAUUAUUAUAGUACACAAUAAAGUGAGGUAAGAGAGAGACGUGUUCUUGCACAAUUGCUUGCAAUCAAUUGCUCGUGAAAUUUUAGACAAUGGAGAACAUUAGUAUAUUUUCCUUGUUGGAAUUUAAUACGUGAAUGUUAUGAACUGAUAAAAAUUAUGAAUUUAUUGUUAUUUACGUAACUGGUGUAAGUUAACUAUAUAACUAACAAGAACAUCCUGCAGUCGUGAAUAAAUGGGAGUAAAAAUCUGAACUCAAAUAUAAAUAGAUAAAUAAGGACCAAAUAAAUGUAGAUAUGCAGUAAAAAUUGAAAACGGUAACUAGUCUUUUAUACAAAUUACCCAUUAUUUGCUUACUCUCUGAAGCAAAAACUGCAUCUUUCAACUUCAAGUACCAAAAUACACACGGUUUAACCACAUAAUUACCACUAUAACUAUCAGUAAAACGUGGGUAUUUUAGAUAAAAUCCAGCAAAAAUAAAUAAAUAAAUAAGAAAAAAUUAGAAAAUAAUUCCAAUAAAAGACUAGUAAUAAUUAAUUAUUAACUGAUACUAUUUGUUGUGGAGAGGAUCUGGGCUGCUGGGUAUUCUCCUUUUGUAAUCAAGAAACGUACCAUUUGAAGCGUUGUUGAGAUCAGAAACUACUGUGUCAUUGAAGUAUUUGUGAAAUAUGUCUGUUUGAUUCUUGUUGGCUUCCAGAAUUGAUUCUGUGUCUUCUUCUACGGCUGGAAAUAUUCUUAAUGCUGACACUUUGCAUUCUCUGGGAACCCAAAUGAUUAACAGCACUACCAGAGAUGAGUACAUGACUGGUUUACUUCUGCUGGAAAAUGACAUUGAACGCAACCUUCAAAUCGACUUUUUGAGGAGAGAGUAACCGAAGUCCCUAUAAAUUCACUAUGCAGGGCCUUUUACGAUUUCAAAUAUAAUUAGAUCGAUACAGAACCCGAAAGUCGAAAGGCUUUUAGUUUAGUUUUUUCUGCCGGAAGGGUUAGUUUAGUGUUUGAUUUUAGGUUAAAAAUCUUCGCCAUCUGGG